AACCUGNGGAAGGAUCAUUG
Molecule: ribosomal RNA, 20 nt
Filed under: Pinnatella ambigua
Lineage: Eukaryota; Viridiplantae; Streptophyta; Bryopsida; Hypnales; Neckeraceae
Description: partial 18S ribosomal RNA
Source: RNAcentral